AAGUCGUAACAAGGUUUCCGCAGGUGAACCUGCAGAAGGAUCAUUAACACGUAUCCAAACGUUAACCCCCUAACCUUCAAUGUGUUCGUACACUUUGUCAAAGCGAGGCAAUCCCUGGUAAUCAUCGCCGAACAGUUUUGAUUCUGGACUUCCGCAAGUGGGCAUUCCCAAGCAGUUAAUGUCUGAAAGUGUCUGGCUGUGUAAGGAUGACGCAGUAACGAUCGUUGGAGGCCGACACGGCCGAUGACCGGGUCACCGGGCGCAAGUCCCUUUAUCACCACUUGAUUCACAGCGCUUAAUUGUGUGGCGACCAAAAACCGAACAACUGUUAACAAUGGAUAUCUUGGUUCUC
RNAcentral lists this unclassified non-coding RNA (352 nucleotides) under fungal sp. RNAcentral describes it as "partial internal transcribed spacer region". The stretch from base 1 to 46 matches the Rfam family "Eukaryotic small subunit ribosomal RNA", at positions 1786 to 1831 of the family's 1831-position model. The record is from RNAcentral. Lineage: Eukaryota; Fungi.